This 2053-nucleotide long non-coding RNA is filed under the name Taeniopygia guttata (zebra finch). Its description in RNAcentral is "lncRNA (ENSTGUG00000027164.1)". Lineage: Eukaryota; Metazoa; Chordata; Aves; Passeriformes; Estrildidae. The record is from RNAcentral.
GCUCCGGGAGCGCAGAGGCAGCGGGAGGAGGAGGCCGCGAGCGCCCGCACGGAGCGGUGAGAGGGGGCAGCGAGGGGCUGGGGGGCGCAGGGGGGGUGGGAGAGGGGCUCGGCUGCUGCUGUUGAGGCAGGAUGGGAAUGAAUAGACUUGACUCAGAAGGUUGUGAGAGUGAAACUUCGAUUUAUUUAAAAUACACCGCUCCUUUAUACAGAGCUCCGUGAGGACUAAAUCUAUUGAAGUGAAAACAAUCCACAGCUUUGGUGUACAGUGCUUGACACAGAACUUACCUAUAAACAAUGUGAAAAACAAGAGAGAUAAAGAAUUAUUUACAUUCUUAUUUAGCUCUUUCCCAGGCGUCUGCCUGGCUAGAAACUCUCAGUUUCUCUCUUUGACUGAAUCCGAGUCCCACACUCGGCCACCCCAGGGUUGGCUAAGAUUGCUCACAGGGGGGGUCCCACCACGCUGGAAAUCUUCAUGGUGCCCCCCCGCCCACCGAGGGGGGACCCAGUGAGGUUCCCCACCUUUGGAACACCCCUUGUACCCCCAGAACAAGGAGCCGGGGGUCCCUCCGACCCUCCCAGCCGAUGACUCCUACGAAGACACCGAACCCCCCGAGCACGGCGGCGGCGACAGCGACAGCAGCCACUACGAGUCGUACGGAGAGGAGGAAGAGGAGGAGGAGGAGGAUGGGGGGGUGACGGACCGGGCCCAUUACCUGCGCUGGCCAGCGGGCACCAGCGCCGAGCCCCCCGAGCCCCCCGGGCGCCCCGAGGCGCAGCUCUGCGGUUUCCUCUGGAGGAAGCGCUGGCUGGGCCGGUGGGCCAAGCAGCUUUUCAUCGUCCGGGAGCACGUCCUGCUGUGCUUCAGGUGUGCCGCAGACCUGCAGCCGCUGCUGCAGCUGGACCUGCGCGGCUGCCGCGUCUCCUGCAAGGACAAGAGGGGCAAGAAGAUGCCCCAUGCCCUGAAGGUGGCAGGGAGGGCAGGAGAGGUGCUGGUCAUCGGCUUCCAGAGCCGGCAGCAGGCUGAGGACUGGAGGAAGGUGAUCGAGGAGGUGAGCAGCGAUGGCCCGAGCGGGCUGGCGGCUCUCGGGGUCCCAGCGCCGCCUUCCUCCAGGCCCGGCAGGGUGAGUUUGGUCCCCCCGGGAAAUAAACCCCAACCCCAUAUCCUGGGGAGAGCUGAGACCCCACAGUUUCGGGGCUCUCCCCACAGAUUCGGGGCUCCCCUCACAGAUUCGGGGCUCCCCCCACAGAUUCGGGGAUCCCCCUAUCCCCACUCCGGGCCUGCCUCACCGCAGCUCGGCAAGGAGGAAGAGGAGGAGGGGAGGAAGCGCUGCCGGCCGAGCCCCGCGCGGCGCGGAGAGGACGGCAAAGGAGGGUUCCCGGUGCUCCGGCAGCGCCUGCGGGCCGCGCUCCGUCGCGGAGCCCUGCGGGUGCUGGCGGUGCCCGGCGCUGCCCCGCGCCCGGAGGGGUGCCGGGGGUCCCCCGGGACGGCCGCCGGAUCCCCCCAAAACCUCCGCGCCCGCAUCGCCCAGCGCGGCCGGGAGCUGGCCCGGCUGCAGGCCCGUCCGGACCAGGGGAGCGAAGCCCGGCUGAGGACCCCACAGACCAGGGGGGCAGCGGAGCCCAAGAAGGGCGAGGGGCCCCCGCCGAGACCCCCGAGGCCGAGCAGCCGCCCCGCUGCCGGGGGGCUGCUGCUGCGCCGUGUGCCCACCCCCAACGCCUACAUGGACGAUCCCUCCGGGCACCCCCCGCCAGCCGGGACCCCCAAACAUCUCUCGUGCAGCGCGGAGCGGCUGCAGCAGCUGCAGCAGAGCCUGGAGCGGGCAGUGCCAGGGCAGCGCCCCAGACCCGUGUCUGCCCUGCCCGGCUGUGCCAGCGCCGCGGGCGGUGCCCGGGCCUCGCCGGCAGGUGAGAGCGGUGGGUGGGAAUGUCCAGGGAGGCGGCGGUGCCCAGGAGAUUUGGGAUUUCUGUGUCCUCCCACCUUUCCCUUCCUGCUGAUUAUUCGGGAUCAUCCCCGCAGCCUUUCCCGGCUGCGUGGUGGCGCUCCGCAAUAA